GAGCAAACAGGAUUAGAUACCCUGGUAGUCCACGCCCUAAACGAUGAAUGCUAGUUGUUGUGGUGCUAGUCACUGCAGUAAUGCAGCUAACGCAAUAAGCAUUCCGCCUGGGGAGUACGGUCGCAAGAUUAAAACUCAAAGGAAUAGACGGGGACCCGCACAAGCGGUGGAGCAUGUGGUUUAAUUCGAAGAUACGCGAAGAACCUUACCUGGGCUUGACAUCCCGAGAACCGACCAGAGAUGGUUGGGUGCUGCUUCGGUAGAACUCGGUGACAGGUGCUGCACGGCUGUCGUCAGCUCGUGUCGUGAGAUGUUGGGUUAAGUCCCGCAACGAGCGCAACCCUCGUCCUUAGUUGCCAGCACUUAGGGUGGGCACUCUAAGGAGACUGCCUGGGUAACCAGGAGGAAGGUGAGGACGACGUCAAGUCAUCAUGGCCCUUAUGUCCAGGGCGACACACGUGCUACAAUGGCGUGUACAAUGAGAGGCGAUACCGCGAGGUGGAGCAAAUCUAUAAAACACGUCCCAGUUCGGAUUGCAGUCUGCAACUCGACUGCAUGAAGUUGGAAUCGCUAGUAAUCGUAGAUCAGCCAUGCUACGGUGAAUACGUUCCCGGGUCUUGUACUCACCGCCCGUCACACCAUGGGAGUUGAUUUCACCCGAAGCGGGGAAGCUAAACCGGCUACCUGCCACGGUGGGAUCAGCGACUGGGGUGAAGUCGUAACAAGGUA
This 729-nucleotide ribosomal RNA is filed under the name uncultured bacterium. RNAcentral's name for it is "bacterial SSU rRNA". It matches the Rfam family "Bacterial small subunit ribosomal RNA", at positions 766 to 1498 of the family's 1533-position model. The record is from RNAcentral.